ACCGCCCGUCAAGCGCUGAAAGUGGGGGGCACCCGAAGUCCCGACUUUAGUCGAGAUCACGGUGAAUUUCAUGAUUGGCGCUAAGUCGUAACAAGGUAGCCGUACAGGAAUGUGCGGCUGGAUCACCUCCUUU
This 133-nucleotide ribosomal RNA is filed under the name Candidatus Omnitrophota bacterium. Its description in RNAcentral is "partial 16S ribosomal RNA". It matches the Rfam family "Bacterial small subunit ribosomal RNA", at positions 1388 to 1533 of the family's 1533-position model. Lineage: Bacteria; Pseudomonadati; Candidatus Omnitrophota. The record is from RNAcentral.